Molecule: ribosomal RNA, 422 nt
Filed under: uncultured bacterium
Lineage: Bacteria
Description: bacterial SSU rRNA
Rfam family: Bacterial small subunit ribosomal RNA
Source: RNAcentral
GAAUUUUGGACAAUGGGGGCAACCCUGAUCCAGCCAUCCCGCGUGUGCGAUGAAGGCCUUCGGGUUGUAAAGCACUUUUGGCAGGGAAGAAAAGGCUCUGGAUAAUACCUGGAGCUGCUGACGGUACCUGCAGAAUAAGCACCUGCUAACUAAUGGCCAGCCGCCGCGGUAAUACGUCGGGGGCAAGCGUUAAACGGAAUUACUGGGCGUAAAGCGUGCGCAGGCGGUUCGGCAAGAAGGAUGUGAAAGCCCAGGGCUUAACCUUGGAACUGCAUUCUUAACUGCCGGGCUAGAGUAUGUCAGAGGGGGGUAGAAUUCCGCGUGUAGCAGUGAAAUGCGUAGAGAUGCGGAGGAAUACCGAUGGCGAAGGCAGCCCCCUGGGAUAAUACUGACGCUCAUGCACGAAAGCGUGGGGAGCAAAC